CUGUCGGUUAAUCAUUUGUUAAUACAAACAGGUCAACCCAACCAACACUGUUGAAUUAUGUAAAUAAUAGGUAUCAAUAGGGGUGUGAUGCCAGUAGAUAUUACUUAAAAUUAAUCGUUAAAUUACCAUAAUUGUAUUUUCUUUAUUGAAAGUGUCGUUUUUUACUUUUUUCUAGGUUUUGACUGGAGAUGAGUGAGAAAUUGAAGUGUGGCGCAUUGAGUAUUUUAAGCCAGUGCCCGUUACACAGGCUUCUUAUAGCAAGUUUUUUACAUGGGACUCCUAUUUUAUAUUGAAGGAGAGCAAAAUUUUGAAGUUCUUAUGGUUUAUAUUAAACCCGCUAGCAUGGGUCAUGGAAGCUGCAGCAAUUAUGGCUGCACUUGCAAAUGGAAGAGUGACUAAUCUCAAGUUCUCAACUGUAUUCAAAUAUGCAACAGUGGUAAAGCACCUAAUUGGUUCAUUUAGAACAAGUGGGAUAGGUGUGGCACUGUCUGGUCCAGAUAGCGGAUGGCGGCUGGCCUCCUAACUGUUGCGUCACCUGUUCAGGUUUCCUUUUCCCUACCCACUCAAUGAGAUUAAAAACUAGAGGCGACACUUUUGACCCGUUCUCCUAGAAAUGGGUAAAGGGCAUUCCUUAAGUGCCACCAGACCUGUACUGAACCGCAACCAGAAAUUUAGGAAUGAUGGAACCGAGAACCAGAGCCAUCUAAAGUUGUUUGGUAUUUUGGUUCCACCGUUCCGGUUUAAAACUGGUUUGGUCCCAAACCGGAUAAUAACUUGAAUACAAAUUGGUUUAAAGUGUUUUAUAUUUUGA
Molecule: long non-coding RNA, 811 nt
Organism: Helianthus annuus (common sunflower)
Lineage: Eukaryota; Viridiplantae; Streptophyta; Magnoliopsida; Asterales; Asteraceae
Exons: 4
Source: RefSeq, a predicted model, not a curated record